RNAcentral lists this ribosomal RNA (461 nucleotides) under uncultured Desulfosporosinus sp. RNAcentral describes it as "bacterial SSU rRNA". It matches the Rfam family "Bacterial small subunit ribosomal RNA", at positions 923 to 1382 of the family's 1533-position model. The record is from RNAcentral. Lineage: Bacteria; Bacillati; Bacillota; Clostridia; Eubacteriales; Desulfitobacteriaceae.
GCACAAGCGGUGGAGCAUGUGGUUUAAUUCGAUGCAACGCGAAGAACCUUACCUAGACUUGACAUCCCGGGAAUUCUUAGGAACUAAGAAGUGCCUUUCGGGGAGCCCGGUGACAGGUGGUGCAUGGUUGUCGUCAGCUCGUGUCGUGAGAUGUUGGGUUAAGUCCCGCAACGAGCGCAACCCCUACGUUUAGUUGCUAACGCGUGAAGGCGAGCACUCUAGACGAACUGCCGUUGACAAAACGGAGGAAGGUGGGGAUGACGUCAAAUCAUCAUGCCCCUUAUGUUCUGGGCUACACACGUGCUACAAUGGCCGGUACAGACGGACGCAAAGCCGCGAGGUGGAGCAAAUCCUAAAAAGCCGGUCUCAGUUCGGAUUGCAGGCUGCAACCCGCCUGCAUGAAGUCGGAAUCGCUAGUAAUCGCAGGUCAGCAUACUGUGGUGAAUACGUUCCCGGGCCUU